GACGAACGCUGGCGGCGUGCCUAAUACAUGCAAGUAGAACGCACAGUUUAUACCGUAGCUUGCUACACCAUAGACUGUGAGUUGCGAACGGGUGAGUAACGCGUAGGUAACCUGCCUGGUAGCGGGGGAUAACUAUUGGAAACGCUAGCUAAUACCGCAUAAUAUUAAUUAUUGCAUGAUAAUUAAUUGAAAGGUGCAAUUGCACCACUACCAGAUGGACCUGCGUUGUAUUAGCUAGUAGGUGAGGUAACGGCUCACCUAGGCGACGAUACAUAGCCGACCUGAGAGGGUGAUCGGCCACACUGGGACGGAGACACGGCACAGACUCCUACGGGAGGCAGCAGGAGGGAAUCGUCGGCAAGGGACGAAAGUCUGACCGAGCAACGCCGAGUGAGUGAAGAAGGUUUUCGGAUCGUAAAGCUCGGUUGUAAGAGAAGAAAGGGUGUGAGAGUGGAAAGUUCACACUGUGACGGUAUCUGACCAGAAAGAGACGGCUAACUACGUG
RNAcentral lists this ribosomal RNA (505 nucleotides) under uncultured bacterium. RNAcentral describes it as "partial 16S ribosomal RNA". It matches the Rfam family "Bacterial small subunit ribosomal RNA", at positions 28 to 507 of the family's 1533-position model. The record is from RNAcentral.